RNAcentral lists this ribosomal RNA (404 nucleotides) under Bacteroidota bacterium. RNAcentral's name for it is "Bacteroidetes bacterium partial 16S ribosomal RNA". It matches the Rfam family "Bacterial small subunit ribosomal RNA", at positions 355 to 776 of the family's 1533-position model. The record is from RNAcentral. Lineage: Bacteria; Pseudomonadati; Bacteroidota.
UGGGGAAUAUUGCACAAUGGGGGAAACCCUGAUGCAGCGACGCCGCGUGAACGAAGAAGGUAUUCGUAUCGUAAAGUUCUGUCCUAUGGGAAGAUAAUGACAGUACCAUAGAAGAAAGCUCCGGCUAAAUACGUGCCAGCAGCCGCGGUAAUACGUAUGGAGCGAGCGUUGUCCGGAUUUAUUGGGCGUAAAGCGAGCGCAGGCGGUCAAUUAAGUCUGAUGUGAAAGCCCCCGGCUCAACCGGGGAGGGUCAUUGGAAACUGGCUGACUUGAGUGCAGAAGAGGAGAGUGGAAUUCCAUGUGUAGCGGUGAAAUGCGUAGAUAUAUGGAGGAACACCAGUGGCGAAGGCGACUCUCUGGUCUGUAACUGACGCUGAGGUUCGAAAGCGUGGGUAGCAAACAGG